AAACAUCAUUGUAUAUAUGAGCCAAUAAUGUCAUCACUUCUCCUUUUGGCAUGGGAGAAGGGUUUUAAACAAAGUGAGCAUAUUUACUCUGAUCUAUGGAUAACUGUAGGAACAUCCACAGCGACCCAAUUGUGGCAGACACCACCAGGAAUGACAAAAUUGCUCAUAUCUUCUGCAUCUUCUUCAAUGAUAGCAGCAGCUUCC
This 204-nucleotide long non-coding RNA is filed under the name Lathyrus oleraceus (garden pea). RNAcentral's name for it is "Pisum sativum (pea) long non-coding RNA (PSAT_LNC033643)". Lineage: Eukaryota; Viridiplantae; Streptophyta; Magnoliopsida; Fabales; Fabaceae. The record is from RNAcentral.